UACAGAGGUCUCAAGCGUUGUUCGGAUUCAUUGGGCGUAAAGGGUGCGUAGGUGGUGACGCAAGUCUGGUGUGAAAUCUCGGAGCUCAACUCCGAAAUUGCACCGGAUACUGCGUGACUCGAGGACUGUAGAGGAGAUCGGAAUUCACGGUGUAGCAGUGAAAUGCGUAGAUAUCAGGAGGAACACCGGUGGUGUAGACGGCUUUCUGGACCGUAACUGACGCUGAGACACGAAAGCGUGGGUAGCAAACAGG
This 253-nucleotide ribosomal RNA is filed under the name uncultured prokaryote. RNAcentral describes it as "partial 16S ribosomal RNA". It matches the Rfam family "Bacterial small subunit ribosomal RNA", at positions 524 to 776 of the family's 1533-position model. The record is from RNAcentral.